This 543-nucleotide ribosomal RNA is filed under the name uncultured archaeon. RNAcentral's name for it is "bacterial SSU rRNA". It matches the Rfam family "Archaeal small subunit ribosomal RNA", at positions 457 to 997 of the family's 1478-position model. The record is from RNAcentral.
GUCAGCAGCCGCGGUAACACCGGCGGCCCGAGUGGUGAUCGUGAUUAUUGGGUCUAAAGGGUCCGUAGCCGGUUUGGUCAGUCCUCCGGGAAAUCUGAUAGCUCAACUAUUAGGCUUUCGGGGGAUACUGCCAGACUUGGAACCGGGAGAGGUAAGAGGUACUACAGGGGUAGGAGUGAAAUCUUGUAAUCCCUGUGGGACCACCUGUGGCGAAGGCGUCUUACCAGAACGGGUUCGACGGUGAGGGACGAAAGCUGGGGGCACGAACCGGAUUAGAUACCCGGGUAGUCCCAGCCGUAAACGAUGCUCGCUAGGUGUCAGGCAUGGCGCGACCGUGUCUGGUGCCGCAGGGAAGCCGUGAAGCGAGCCACCUGGGAAGUACGGCCGCAAGGCUGAAACUUAAAGGAAUUGGGCGGGGGAGCACAACAACGGGUGGAGCCCUGCGGUUUAAUUGGACUCAACGCCGGACAACUCACCGGGGGCGACAGCAAUAUGUAGGCCAAGCUGAAGACUUUGCCUGAAUCGCUGAGAAGUGGUGCAUGG